Molecule: ribosomal RNA, 253 nt
Filed under: uncultured bacterium
Lineage: Bacteria
Description: partial 16S ribosomal RNA
Rfam family: Bacterial small subunit ribosomal RNA
Source: RNAcentral
GACAGAGGUGCCGAGCGUUAGGCGGAAUUACUGGGCUUAAAGCGCGUGUAGGCGGAUGGGGACGUCGGUCGCUGAAAGCCCCCGGCUCAACCGGGGAACGGGCGCCGAAACGCCCCGUCUGGAGGGACGUAGGGGGACCUGGAACUUCCGGUGGAGCGGUGAAAUGCGUAGAUAUGCGGAGGAACACCGAUGGCGAAGGCAAUCCCCUGGACCUGUACUGACGCUCAUGCACGAAAGCGUGGGAGCAAACAGG